AAAUCGUAACAAGGUCUCCGUUGGUGAACCAGCGGAGGGAUCAUUACCGAGUUUACAACUCCCAAACCCCAAUGUGAACGUUACCAAUCUGUUGCCUCGGCGGGAUUCUCUUGCCCCGGGCGCGUCGCAGCCCCGGAUCCCAUGGCGCCCGCCGGAGGACCAACUCCAAACUCUUUUUUUCUCUCCGUCGCGGCUCCCGUCGCGGCUCUGUUUUAUUUUUGCUCUGAGCCUUUCUCGGCGACCCUAGCGGGCGUCUCGAAAAUGAAUCAAAACUUUCAACAACGGAUCUCUUGGUUCUGGCAUCGAUGAAGAACGCAGCGAAAUGCGAUAAGUAAUGUGAAUUGCAGAAUUCAGUGAAUCAUCGAAUCUUUGAACGCACAUUGCGCCCGCCAGUAUUCUGGCGGGCAUGCCUGUCCGAGCGUCAUUUCAACCCUCGAACCCCUCCGGGGGGUCGGCGUUGGGGAUCGGCCCCUCACCGGGCCGCCCCCGAAAUACAGUGGCGGUCUCGCCGCAGCCUCUCCUGCGCAGUAGUUUGCACACUCGCACCGGGAGCGCGGCGCGGCCACAGCCGUAAAACACCCCAAACUUCUGAAAUGUUGACCUCGGAUCAGGUAGGAAUACCCGCUGAACUUAAGCAUAUCAAAAGGCNGGAGGAACAGGCCAU
RNAcentral lists this ribosomal RNA (664 nucleotides) under Trichoderma longibrachiatum. RNAcentral's name for it is "eukaryotic LSU rRNA". The stretch from base 271 to 424 matches the Rfam family "5.8S ribosomal RNA". Lineage: Eukaryota; Fungi; Ascomycota; Sordariomycetes; Hypocreales; Hypocreaceae. The record is from RNAcentral.